CCUACGGGCGGCAGCAGUGAGGAAUAUUGGUCAAUGGGCGAGAGCCUGAACCAGCCAAGUCGCGUGAAGGAUGACGGCCCUACGGGUUGUAAACUUCUUUUGUCAGGGAGCAAUUUGGUCCACGCGUGGGCUUAGCGAUAGUACCUGAAGACAAAGCCUCGGCUAACUCCGUGCCAGCAGCCGCGGUAAUACGAAGGUUGGGAGGGUUAUCCGGAUUUAUUGGGUUUAAAGGGUGCGUAAGCGGAAUAUCAAGUCAGCGGUAAAAAUUCGGGGCUCAACCCCGUCGUGCCGUUGAAACUGAUGUUCUUGAGUGGGCGAGAAGUAGGCGGAAUGCGUGGUGUAGCGGUGAAAUGCAUAGAUAUCACGAAGAACUCCGAUUGCGAAGGCAGCAUACCGGAGCCCAACUGACGCUGAAGCACGAAAGCGUGGGUAUCGAACAGGAUUAGAUACCCGGGUAGUC
This 460-nucleotide ribosomal RNA is filed under the name uncultured bacterium. Its description in RNAcentral is "partial 16S ribosomal RNA". It matches the Rfam family "Bacterial small subunit ribosomal RNA", at positions 338 to 795 of the family's 1533-position model. The record is from RNAcentral.